UAUUUCAAAAGUUGCAUAUGACA
This 23-nucleotide microRNA is filed under the name Strongyloides ratti. RNAcentral describes it as "str-miR-8390-5p". The record is from miRBase by way of RNAcentral. Lineage: Eukaryota; Metazoa; Nematoda; Chromadorea; Rhabditida; Strongyloididae.